This 253-nucleotide ribosomal RNA is filed under the name uncultured bacterium. RNAcentral's name for it is "partial 16S ribosomal RNA". It matches the Rfam family "Bacterial small subunit ribosomal RNA", at positions 524 to 776 of the family's 1533-position model. The record is from RNAcentral.
UACGUAGGGAGCAAGCGUUACUCGGAAUUACUGGGCGUAAAGAGUGCGUAGGUGGUUUGGUAAGUCUGUCGUGAAAGCCCCGGGCUCAACCUGGGAAUGGCGAUGGAUACUGGCUCGCUAGAGUGCGGUAGAGGAGAGUGGAAUUCCCGGUGUAGCAGUGAAAUGCGUAGAGAUGCGGAGGAACACCGAUGGCGAAGGCAGCCCCCUGGGCCAAUACUGACGCUCAGGCGCGAAAGCGUGGGGAGCAAACAGG